This 468-nucleotide ribosomal RNA is filed under the name uncultured bacterium. RNAcentral describes it as "partial 16S ribosomal RNA". It matches the Rfam family "Bacterial small subunit ribosomal RNA", at positions 28 to 507 of the family's 1533-position model. The record is from RNAcentral.
GACGAACGCUGGCGGCGUGCUUAACACAUGCAAGUCGAACGGCAAGGCCCUGCUUUCGUGGGGUGCUCGAGUGGCGAACGGGUGCGGAACAGGAGAGCAACCUGCUCUAGACUUUGGGAUAACUUAAGGAAACUGGGGCUACUAUAGGAUCGCAGACCACGCUGCAUGGUGGGGGUUGGAAAGUUUCGGCGGUAGGGGAUGGACUCGGGGAUUUUCAGCUUGUUGGUCGGGUAGUGGCUGACCCAGCAUUUGACGGGUAGCCGGCCUGGGAGGGUGACCAGCCACAUGAGUACUACGGUACGGCCCAGAGUCGUACGUUAGGCAACAGGGGGGAAUAUUGCACAAUGGGCGGAAGCCUGAUGCAGCGACGCCGCGGUCGGGAUGACGGCCUUCUGGGUGUAAACCGCUGUCGCCUGUGACGAAGCGUUAGUGACGGUAAUGAGUAAAGAAGCACCGGCUAACUACGUG